GGCGGUGUGGCGUAGUGGCUUGAGUGUUGGACUACAACUCUGGAAACCAGGGUUUGAUUCCCUGCUCAGCCC
RNAcentral lists this transfer RNA (72 nucleotides) under Phrynosoma platyrhinos (Desert horned lizard). Its description in RNAcentral is "tRNA-OTHER". It matches the Rfam family "tRNA". Rfam says of the family: Transfer RNA (tRNA) molecules are approximately 80 nucleotides in length. Lineage: Eukaryota; Metazoa; Chordata; Lepidosauria; Squamata; Phrynosomatidae. The record is from RNAcentral.